Molecule: ribosomal RNA, 778 nt
Filed under: Pediococcus acidilactici
Lineage: Bacteria; Bacillati; Bacillota; Bacilli; Lactobacillales; Lactobacillaceae
Description: bacterial SSU rRNA
Rfam family: Bacterial small subunit ribosomal RNA
Source: RNAcentral
CUCAGGAUGAACGCUGGCGGCGUGCCUAAUACAUGCAAGUCGAACGAACUUCCGUUAAUUGAUCAGGACGUGCUUGCACUGAAUGAGAUUUUAACACGAAGUGAGUGGCGGACGGGUGAGUAACACGUGGGUAACCUGCCCAGAAGCAGGGGAUAACACCUGGAAACAGAUGCUAAUACCGUAUAACAGAGAAAACCGCCUGGUUUUCUUUUAAAAGAUGGCUCUGCUAUCACUUCUGGAUGGACCCGCGGCGCAUUAGCUAGUUGGUGAGGUAACGGCUCACCAAGGCGAUGAUGCGUAGCCGACCUGAGAGGGUAAUCGGCCACAUUGGGACUGAGACACGGCCCAGACUCCUACGGGAGGCAGCAGUAGGGAAUCUUCCACAAUGGACGCAAGUCUGAUGGAGCAACGCCGCGUGAGUGAAGAAGGGUUUCGGCUCGUAAAGCUCUGUUGUUAAAGAAGAACGUGGGUGAGAGUAACUGUUCACCCAGUGACGGUAUUUAACCAGAAAGCCACGGCUAACUACGUGCCAGCAGCCGCGGUAAUACGUAGGUGGCAAGCGUUAUCCGGAUUUAUUGGGCGUAAAGCGAGCGCAGGCGGUCUUUUAAGUCUAAUGUGAAAGCCUUCGGCUCAACCGAAGAAGUGCAUUGGAAACUGGGAGACUUGAGUGCAGAAGAGGACAGUGGAACUCCAUGUGUAGCGGUGAAAUGCGUAGAUAUAUGGAAGAACACCAGUGGCGAAGGCGGCUGUCUGGUCUGUAACUGACGCUGAGGCUCGA